RNAcentral lists this ribosomal RNA (411 nucleotides) under uncultured bacterium. RNAcentral's name for it is "bacterial SSU rRNA". It matches the Rfam family "Bacterial small subunit ribosomal RNA", at positions 32 to 453 of the family's 1533-position model. The record is from RNAcentral.
AAUCAACGCUGGCGGCGUGCCUAACACAUGCAAGUCGAACGAGAAAGUGGAGCAAUCCAUGAGUAAAGUGGCGCACGGGUGAGUAACACGUGACUAACCUACCCUUGAGUGGGGGAUAACCUAGGGAAACCUGGGCUAAUACCGCAUAAUACCUACGGGUCAAAGGAGCAAUUCGCUUUAGGAGGGGGUCGCGGCAGAUUAGUUAGUUGGCGGGGUAAUGGCCCACCAAGACGAUGGAUCNGUAUCCGGCCUGAGAGGGCGCACGGACACACUGGAACUGAAACACGGUCCAGACUCCUACGGGAGGCAGCAGUGGGAAUUUGCGCAAGUGGGGGAAACCCUGACGCAGCAACGCCGCGUGGAGGAUGAAGACCCUUGGGUCGUAAACUCCUUUCGAUCGGGACGAUAAUG